This 253-nucleotide ribosomal RNA is filed under the name uncultured bacterium. Its description in RNAcentral is "partial 16S ribosomal RNA". It matches the Rfam family "Bacterial small subunit ribosomal RNA", at positions 524 to 776 of the family's 1533-position model. The record is from RNAcentral.
UACGUAGGGUGCGAGCGUUAAUCGGAAUUACUGGGCGUAAAGCGUGCGUAGGCGGUUCUGAAAGUCAGCUGUGAAAGCCCCGGGCUUAACCUGGGAAUGGCAUUCAGGACUGCGAGGCUCGAGUGUGGCAGAGGGAGGUGGAAUUCCACGUGUAGCAGUGAAAUGCGUAGAGAUGUGGAGGAACACCGAUGGCGAAGGCAGCCUCCUGGGCCAGCACUGACGCUCAUGCACGAAAGCGUGGGGAGCUAACAGG